AAAUUUAGCUCGUCACUAUUGCCACCCUGUCUCUCGCCAUGUUCUCCGGCUGAAACUUCUGCUACACUAUUUCUAAGUUAUUCAUUCAACUUUUAUCAUAUAUAAAUCAACUGUAAUUGGUAGUCAAGAUGUCGAAUAUCUCCUACCAUAUCUCCAAUCUGUUGGAGAAAAUGACAUCUACUGACAAAGACUUUCGCUUCAUGGCCACCAAUGACCUGAUGAUGGAGCUUCAGAAGGAUUCUAUCAAGUUGGAUGAAGACAGUGAGAAGAAGGUGGUCACCAUGCUCCUGAAGCUACUGGAAGAUAAGAAUGGAGAGGUGCAGAAUCUAGCUGUCAAGUGUCUGGGUCCCUUGGUGAGCAAGGUGAAAGAAUACCAGGUAGAGAUCAUGGUGGAUACUCUCUGCUCUAACAUGAUGUCAGACAAGGAACAACUCAGAGACAUCUCCAGUAUGGGUCUGAAGACAGUCAUCGCUGAGCUGCCCCCAUGCUCCAUAGGUCAAAGUCUGACUGCCAACGUAUGUAAGAAGAUCACAUCUCAGCUGAUAGGAGCCAUGGGGAAACAGGAAGACGUUUCUGUUCAGCUGGAGGCCUUGGACAUCCUGUCGGACAUGUUGGGAAGGUUGAGUGGUACGUUGAUCAGCUUCCAUGCCUCCAUCCUGACCAGCCUGCUCCCCCAGUUGACCAGCCCCCGUAUGGCUGUGAGGAAGAGGGCCAUCAUGGCCCUGGGUCACCUGGUGCCCAGCUGCAGUAAGACUCUCUUCACCCAGCUCACUGAGCACCUGCUGGCUGAGCUGGGCCGAGGACAGCAGACCUCCACCACACGCACCUACAUCCAGUGUCUGGCCACCGUCAGUCGCCAGGGAGGCCAUCGAGUCGGCGAGCACCUAGAGAAGAUCGUCCCCAUGGUGAUGACGUUCUGCAGUGUGGAGGAUGAUGAACUCAGGGAGUACUGCUUCCAGGCCUUUGAAGCCUUCGUCCGCAGAUGCCCCAAGGAGAUGUCCCCUCAUAUAUCCACGGUGAUCAAGCUGUGUCUGAGGUACAUCACCUAUGACCCCAACUACAACUAUGAUGUGGAUGAGGAUGAGGACGGGGAUGAGUCCAUGGACACAGGGGACGGAGAGGAUGAGGACCAAGAGUCAGAUGACGAGUACAGUGAUGAUGACGACAUGAGCUGGAAGGUACGGAGGUCAUCUGUGAAGUGUCUGGAGGCUGUGAUCAGCACCAGGAGAGACCUGCUAGUGGAGCUGUAUGGUUCAGUAGCUCCAACCCUGCUGGCUCGGUUUAAAGAGAGGGAGGAGAACGUCAAGACAGACAUCUUUGUAGCCUUUGUUGCCUUACUCAAACAGACCAGGCCUUCUCAGGGCCUCAUCACCACAGCAGCAGAGCCUGGAGUCAAAGAAGACCAAGCCAUCACUCUACUCAAGAAACAGGUCCCCACAGUAGUGAAGGCUCUCCACAAGCAGCUGAAGGAGAAGAGCAUGAAGUCUAGACAGGGCUGUUUCUGUCUGCUGACAGAGCUGGCCAACGUACUGCCAGGAGCCCUGGGAAAACACAUACCAGCUCUCAUCCCUGGUAUAGUUCACUCCCUUACAGACAAGUCUACCUCGUCCAACAUGAAGCUCGAUGCCCUCUCUUUCCUCAAUGUCCUCCUGUGCAGCCAUCCUCCUGCCGUGUUCCAGCCUCACAUGAAGGUAUGCUGCCUGCGGUGGUGCAGUGUGUGGAGGACACCUUCUAUAAGAUCACCUCCGAGGCCCUACUGGUCACUCAGCAGAUGGUCAAGAUCAUACGCCCGUUAGGAGACAAACUACCCGCCUUUGACGUCAAACCCUACGUGAAGGAUAUGUUCUCUGCCACUCUGAAGAGGCUGAAGGCUGCAGACAUUGACCAGGAAGUGAAGGAGAGAGCUAUUUCCUGUAUGGGUCACAUUGUGUGUCACGUAGGAGACCAGCUGGGUGGGGACCUCCAGCCGACACUGCAGAUCUUCCUGGAGAGACUGAAGAACGAGAUCACCAGGCUGACAGCGGUGAAGACCCUGACUCUCAUCGCCACAUCGCCCCUCAAGAUCGACCUCCGACCUUUACUCACUGAGGGCAUCCCCAUCCUAGGCUCCUUCCUCAGGAAGAACCAGCGUGCCCUCAAGCUGAGCACACUGACUGCCCUCAACAUGAUAGUUAUGAACUACAGCGACAGCCUGAAGCCGCCCAUGAUCGAGGCUGUGCUCAAUGAGCUACCUGCCCUGAUCGAGGAGAACGACAUGCACAUAUCCCAGGUGGCGGUGAUGCUUCUCACCUGUAUAGCUAAGGUGUGCCCCUCCUCCCUGUCUAAGAUCGGGAACACCGUCUUACCUGGUGUGUUUCAUCUGGUUCAUUCCCCGUUGCUGCAAGGAGGGGCUCUGUCGGCCAUCUUGGAGUUCUUCAAGGCCCUGGUGGUCACUAAGGCUGGGAACAUGGGAUACAACGACCUCUUGAAAGCUCUCACCGGUCCUUUCCACAGCUCAGGGAAGGCGACAGACCCCACACCCACGCACAGACAGUCUUACUACUCUGUGGCCAGGUGUGUAGCUGCUCUAUCCUCCGUGUGCCCUAAAGAAGCAUCCGGAAUGGUCACCAGCUUCAUCCAGGAAGUCAAGAACCCCAAGUGUUCCGAGUCCGUCAGAAUCCUGUCCUUCCUGUGUCUGGGGGAGGUGGGGCGUACCAUGAACCUGGGGGGUCAGAAGGAGCUAAAGACUGUGAUCCUGGAGGCCUUCUCCUCUCCCAACGAGGAAGUCAAGUCAGCCGCUUCCUGUGCUCUGGGGAACAUCUGUGUGGGCAACCUGGAGGAGUACCUUCCCUUUAUGCUGAAGGAGAUAGGUAGCCAGCCAAAGAGAAGGUACCUGCUGUUACACAGCCUCAAAGAGGUGAUCGGCGCCUGCUCGGCGGAGAGCUUGUUGGCCCACGUCGAGGAUAUCUGGGCUCUUCUCUUUAAGAACCGCGAGUGUGCCGAAGAGGGGACGAGGAAUGUGGUGGCGGAGUGUCUGGGGAAACUUACCAUGGUCAAUCCGGCUCAGCUCCUGCCCAGGCUCAAACAACAGCUUUCCUCAGGGUCUCCUGUGGCCCGCAGUACUGUGGUCACUGCUGUUAAGUUCACCAUCGUUGAUCAGCCUGUACCUAUAGAUUCACUACUCAAAGGAUGCAUAGGUGAUUUCCUGAAGACUCUGCAGGACAAAGACCCGAAUGUACGUCGUGUGGCCUUGGUGAUGUUCAACUCAGCGGCCCACAACAAACCUUCUCUGAUCCGCGGUCUGCUAGCCUCAGUACUGCCUAGCCUCUACAACGAGACACAGAUCAGGAAGGACCUCAUCAGAGAGGUGGAGAUGGGUCCGUUCAAGCACACAGUGGACGAUGGUCUGGACGUGAGAAAGGCAGCGUUUGAGUGCAUGUAUACCUUACUGGACAGCUGUCUGGACUGCUUGGACAUCUUCGAGUUCCUCGACCGCGUAGAAGAAGGCCUUAAAGACCACUACGACAUCAGAAUGUUGACAUUCAUCAUGCUGGCCAGACUCUGCUGUCUGUGUCCCAAUGCUGUGGUCCAGAGACUGGACAGACUGAUCGAACCUCUCAGGGUUACCUGCACCACUAAGGUGAAGGCGGGGUCAGUGAAGCAGGAGUUUGAGAAGCAGGAGGAGCUGCGUCGUUCAGCGAUGAGGGCCGUGGCAGCCUUGCUCUCUAUCAGCGAGGUGGAGAAAAGCCCUGCCAUGGCCGACUUUGCCAACCAGAUACGCACCAACGCAGAGAUGGCCUCCAUCUUAGAGAGCAUCCAGGGAGACACACGCUCCGGCGCAGUGGAAAGCAUGGACACCAGUUAGAACUAAACGAUAGGAGGGGACACCCUCCCAGGAUAAUUUGAAGUUAUUCUUUAAAAUAGAACAGAAACAGAAACCGAAGCCAAUGCCCAGCAUUUUGGCUAGAUGCAAAUUGUAUGACUGUCAUAGGCCGUAUUCACUGCCACUGAAAUCCUUCAUAUUAUGCCUUGAAAGUUGAGUUGGAAACGUGUUUUAUUGACUCGUCAGGAUGUCGUAGGGCCUAAUCAAUGACAAUUAUUCCUCUGCCUUAAAAAUCAACGUUGAGAUGAAAACGUGCCUUCCGGUCAUUGAGAUCAUACUUCAUUCAAAGGACUUUAAGGCCAGUGGUAUUCAGUGCCAUGUUGGUAGGGCUGUGAUAUUGAUACAGUAUUCUCCAUGAAUACAUUGCAAAUAAACAAACGUUUUGUUCAUUUAA
Salmo salar (Atlantic salmon) is the source of this 4256-nucleotide non-coding RNA. The record is from RefSeq and is a predicted model, not a curated record. NCBI's taxonomy places the organism in Eukaryota, Metazoa, Chordata, Actinopteri, Salmoniformes, Salmonidae.